UGAGUGACAAUGGCAUCUCUUUGACAUCAUACAAAGGGUAGUGAUGAGUUCAUAAAGCCUCAGCCUCUCAGCGUUAAGUAGGAGCUCCCAUAGCAACAAACUCCUAAGGUAGCCUCGGACCAGCACCUGAAUUCUUCAUCCAUGCCAGAGAGGCCCAGGACAGUGCUCCCAACCAUGAAGAGUAAGGCGCAAAAUGAGAAUACUGCGCAGUACAGCAUGAGAAACCAAGAGAAUUACUCAGCAAUUGGAAGUGACCCAGACCCAGGAGACUGACCAGCCCAUGCCGCAUCUGUCCAGCCCAGGGGCCAAGGGAAUUGGAAUCCCACACUCCAGAACCAGUCAUGGUCUACCGGUGUGUUGCAGCAUGUUAUUGGCCGCCUCUGGCCUGGAAUUGUUCCAGCACAUAGAGGAUCCCCAUCAAAUAUUUUUUUCCCUUAUGAAUGGAAUAAAAGGAAGAAGGUGAUCUCUUCUGGAAACUAGAGAUGGAAAGAGUUGGAUGGGUUGGAAGGGGUGAGCAGAACAGGAGCCAUGAGCCAGUAAAGUGCAUCCUAGCUCUCACAGACUUCUCUUGCUGAAUCCAUACUGGACGCUCUUGGCCUAGCCAACACCUGCCCGCUGAGGGCCAGCUCCCAUCCAACCCGACCCACCUCCUCCAUGAAGCCUCUCUGACUGCUGACCUGAAGUCUUCUGUGCUUAACACCUAACUACCUCUGGUGGCCCCUUUUGUUUUAAGUAGCCUUCGUGCCUAGUGUGGAGCCCAAUGCAGGGUUUGAACUCACAACCCUGAGAUCAAGACCUGACCAGAGACCAAGAGUUGGACGCCUAACUGACUGAACCACCCAGGCACCCCUCAUGUGGCCCUUUUCAGAAGGCUGCCUUUUGACAUCUCUCUCCUAUUGUGAACAGCAGGCCAAAGCCCACAUGCUGUUUGUAGUUUGCCAGGCCUGUGUCUCAAGUCCCUGCCUCAUCCUCACCCUCCUUGAGGAAGAGGCCGCCUCGCCCUUCUGUGUGUUCACCCAGUGCACAGUGAGCACCUUCUGGCCAUGCAAAUUCUUUGGGACCUGCUUGGUGACUUGGAGUUGAGCUCUGCUGCCUGCAGGCACUGGGAGUGAGCCUGCCAUGGGGUAGGCAUGGGGCUAAGUGUGCUGGAUGGGGCCGGUAUGGAGCAGUGGAGACCAGAUGGUGAGAGAGCGCACUGAGAAGGAGAGAAAAGAAAGCCAUCAGACCGAGAGCACCUGUUGUUGUUAGAGCAGUGUGAGGACCCACAUCCAACCAGCUGGCCGUCUCUGCUCCUUGCUCUUGUCACAACCUUCCAGAAGAGAUACGGACACUCAGAAUUGUCCCCAUUCUCCCUUCUCUUUGUUUCCAGUGCUGGUAGUGGUCAGUGUUUGGUGCAGAUAAAAUGAUACAGCGAUACUGCUGAUGGGGGCGAUUUAUCUUGCCCUUAACAUCCAAGAGAGUAAAGGAUAAGGAUCUGAUAGGCUAGUAGUAGGUUGAAAGGUGACCGUAAGCCUGUGAGUGAGGGUCACCAAUACAUAAGCCCAUGUGGGUGCCCGAGCAAGAAGGUAAUGUUCAUGCCGUGGGUUCAGGAAGGACUCUCACGGACCUAAGAUAGGUUAGAAAUGCACUGCACUCCUGAGUCUGGUUCUGGGCUCCCACAGGGGACACUGGCACUUAGAGAGAGGUCAGAGGGUAGCCUCGAAGGUGAUGAGCAGGACGGGCAGCAGGGCCUGGGAGAAAAAGAGGCUGGGAUUAUUCAUCAGGGGAAGACAGGCAGGCAGGAUUUAACACAAUCUUCAGGUAUCAGAAGAGCUCUCAGGCAGUGCAGGCUAAGUCUUGGCAGUGGCUACUGAGGAUGGAACAAGGAAAGAAACUUAAUCCACAGCAUAAGGGAUUUAGGAUAGAAUUUCCUGAUGGUGAAGGUUGUUAAAAGUUGCAAUGAAUGGUCUAGAGAGAGAUUCUGGUCUACUCUGGAAGCUUUUACAAGUAGAAGAGAUUAUCCUCUGGCAGGGCAGCUUAUCUCUAAUCCUGCCUGAAGGCAGGGGAAUGGACACAAUGACCUCAGGGUCUCCUUCAGACUUGGAAAGCAGGUCUUCCCAUCGGCAGACCAGCCAACACUGCUCUGCAGGUGAUGCACUUCAAGGAAGGCCCAGAGUGUUCCCAGAAAUAAAGAGAAGCUGCCUGAUGUGA
Long non-coding RNA from Herpailurus yagouaroundi (jaguarundi), 2190 nucleotides. RefSeq lists it as uncharacterized. The transcript has 2 exons. NCBI's taxonomy places the organism in Eukaryota, Metazoa, Chordata, Mammalia, Carnivora, Felidae. The record is from RefSeq and is a predicted model, not a curated record.